RNAcentral lists this ribosomal RNA (253 nucleotides) under uncultured bacterium. RNAcentral describes it as "partial 16S ribosomal RNA". It matches the Rfam family "Bacterial small subunit ribosomal RNA", at positions 524 to 776 of the family's 1533-position model. The record is from RNAcentral.
UACGUAGGGUGCGAGCGUUAAUCGGAAUUACUGGGCGUAAAGCGUGCGCAGGCGGUUCGUUGUGUCGGUGGUGAAAUCCCCGGGCUUAACCUGGGAAUGGCCAUGGAAACUGGCGAACUGGAGUGCGGCAGAGGGGGGUGGAAUUCCGCGUGUAGCAGUGAAAUGCGUAGAGAUGCGGAGGAACACCAGUGGCGAAGGCGGCUUUCUGGUCUGUAACUGACGCUGAGGCGCGAAAGCGUGGGGAGCAAACAGG